UUGAUGUGUAGGAUAGGUGGGAGGCUUUGAAGUGUGGACGCCAGUCUGCAUGGAGCCGGCCUUGAAAUACCACCCUUUAAUGUUUGAUGUUCUAACGUUGGCCCCUGAUCGGGGUUGCGGACAGUGUCUGGUGGGUAGUUUGACUGGGGCGGUCUCCUCCUAAAGAGUAACGGAGGAGCACGAAGGUUGGCUAAUCCUGGUCGGACAUCAGGAGGUUAGUGCAAUGGCAUAAGCCAGCUUGACUGCGAGCGUGACGGCGCGAGCAGGUGCGAAAGCAGGUCAUAGUGAUCCGGUGGUUCUGAAUGGAAGGGCCAUCGCUCAACGGAUAAAAGGUACUCCGGGGAUAACAGGCUGAUACCGCCCAAGAGUUCAUAUCGACGGCGGUGUUUGGCACCUCGAUGUCGGCUCAUCACAUCCUGGGGCUGAAGUAGGUCCCAAGGGUAUGGCUGUUCGCCAUUUAAAGUGGUACGCGAGCUGGGUUUAGAACGUCGUGAGACAGUUCGGUCCCUAUCUGCCGUGGGCGCUGGAGAACUGAGGGGGGCUGCUCCUAGUACGAGAGGACCGGAGUGGACGCAUCACUGGUGUUCGGGUUGUCAUGCCAAUGGCACUGCCCGGUAGCUAAAUGCGGAAGAGAUAAGUGCUGAAAGCAUCUAAGCACGAAACUUGCCCCGAGAUGAGUUCUCCCUGACUCCUUGAGAGUCCUGAAGGAACGUUGAAGACGACGACGUUGAUAGGCCGGGUGUGUAAGCGCAGCGAUGCGUUGAGCUAACCGGUACUAAUGAACCGUGAGGCUUAACCUUACAA
This 804-nucleotide ribosomal RNA is filed under the name Escherichia coli. Its description in RNAcentral is "partial 23S ribosomal RNA". It matches the Rfam family "Bacterial large subunit ribosomal RNA", at positions 2131 to 2925 of the family's 2925-position model. Lineage: Bacteria; Pseudomonadati; Pseudomonadota; Gammaproteobacteria; Enterobacterales; Enterobacteriaceae. The record is from RNAcentral.